AUUAAUAGUAAUCUUUAAGGUCAUUUCAUAAAAAUGGAGUGUUAAUAGGGAAGUUGGUGAAAGUCCAACACGGUCCCGCCACUGUAAACGUUAGAAUACUUUCAAGAUAUUCCACUGUCUUUUUAGAUGGGAAGGAAAAAGUAUUUGCAAUGCGUAAGUCAGGAGACCUGCCUUAAAGAACAUGUUGUU
RNAcentral lists this non-coding RNA (189 nucleotides) under Anaerobacillus alkalilacustris. Lineage: Bacteria; Bacillati; Bacillota; Bacilli; Caryophanales; Bacillaceae. The record is from RNAcentral.